RNAcentral lists this ribosomal RNA (250 nucleotides) under uncultured bacterium. RNAcentral describes it as "partial 16S ribosomal RNA". It matches the Rfam family "Bacterial small subunit ribosomal RNA", at positions 524 to 773 of the family's 1533-position model. The record is from RNAcentral.
CACGGAGGCCUCAAGCGUUGUUCGGAAUUACUGGGCGUAAAGGGUGCGUAGGCGGCGAGGUAAGUCAGAUGUGAAAGCCCGGGGCUCAACCCCGGAAUGGCAUCCGAUACUGCCUUGCUUGAGGAUUGGAGAGGAGACUGGAAUUCACGGUGUAGCAGUGAAAUGCGUGGAUAUCGUGAGGAAGGCCAAUGGCGAAGGCAGGUCUCUGGACAAUUCCUGACGCUGAUGCACGAAGGCCAGGGGAGCAAAA